GCCGCAGCAAAAUCUGCGGCCGGGUUUGGCGACCCGGAUAGCUAUGGCGCACAGCCGCUUCAGCGGUUUUUUU
RNAcentral lists this small RNA (73 nucleotides) under Azomonas macrocytogenes. Lineage: Bacteria; Pseudomonadati; Pseudomonadota; Gammaproteobacteria; Pseudomonadales; Pseudomonadaceae. The record is from RNAcentral.